AACCGUGCAAAGGUAGCGUAAUCACUUGUCCUCUAAAUAAGGACCCGUAUGAAAGGUUAAUUGAGGAUAAAACUGUCUCCUGCGACCAAUCAAUGAAACUGAUCUCCCAGUACAAAAGCUGGGAUAAACACAUAAGACGAGAAGACCCUGCGGAGCUUUAAGCCACACUACUGCCACACCAAACACACCAACCAAACCCUGGGUCACAAACAAUGUAACAGUAUUAACUUUUAGUUGGGGCGACUGCGGAGAAAAUAUAACCUCCAUGAAACCAGGCUAACAGCCACCACAAGACAUACGUGUCAAACGAUUAAAUAUNUCGACCCAGCACAGCUGAUUAACGAACCAAGUUACCCCAGGGAUAACAGCGCCAUCCCCCUCAAGAGUCCAUAUCGCCAGGGGGGCUUACGACCUCGAUGUUGGAUCAGGACACCCAGAUGGUGUAGCCGCUAUCAAAGGUUCGUUUGUUCAACGAUUAAUGUCCUACGUGAU
This 492-nucleotide ribosomal RNA is filed under the name Afroedura amatolica. RNAcentral's name for it is "partial 16S ribosomal RNA". It matches the Rfam family "Bacterial large subunit ribosomal RNA", at positions 1944 to 2604 of the family's 2925-position model. The record is from RNAcentral. Lineage: Eukaryota; Metazoa; Chordata; Lepidosauria; Squamata; Gekkonidae.